RNAcentral lists this ribosomal RNA (460 nucleotides) under uncultured bacterium. Its description in RNAcentral is "partial 16S ribosomal RNA". It matches the Rfam family "Bacterial small subunit ribosomal RNA", at positions 338 to 795 of the family's 1533-position model. The record is from RNAcentral.
CCUACGGGUGGCAGCAGUGAGGAAUAUUGGUCAAUGGACGAGAGUCUGAACCAGCCAAGUAGCGUGAAGGAUGACUGCCCUAUGGGUUGUAAACUUCUUUUAUCUGGGAAUAAAACGUUCCACGUGUGGGAUUUUGUAUGUACCAUAUGAAUAAGGAUCGGCUAACUCCGUGCCAGCAGCCGCGGUAAUACGGAGGCUCCGAGCGUUAUCCGGAUUUAUUGGGUUUAAAGGGUGCGUAGGUGGAUUGUUAAGUCAGUUGUGAAAGUUUGCGGCUCAACCGUAAAAUUGCAGUUGAAACUGGCAGUCUUGAGUGCAGUAGAGGUGGGCGGAAUUCGUGGUGUAGCGGUGAAAUGCUUAGAUAUCACGAAGAACUCCGAUUGCGAAGGCAGUUCACUGGACUGCAACUGACACUGAGGCUCGAAAGUGUGGGUAUCAAACAGGAUUAGAUACCCUUGUAGUC